RNAcentral lists this ribosomal RNA (448 nucleotides) under uncultured bacterium. RNAcentral's name for it is "bacterial SSU rRNA". It matches the Rfam family "Bacterial small subunit ribosomal RNA", at positions 355 to 825 of the family's 1533-position model. The record is from RNAcentral.
UGGGGAAUUUUGGACAAUGGGCGAAAGCCUGACGCAGCAACGCCGCGUGAAGGAUGAAAUCCUUCGGGAUGUAAACUUCGCAAAACUGGGAAGAACAAAAUGACGGUACCAGUUGUAAGCCACGGCUAACUCUGUGCCAGCAGCCGCGGUAAUACAGAGGUGGCAAGCGUUGUUCGGAAUUACUGGGCGUAAAGCGCGUGUAGGCGGCUCUUCAAGUCAGGCGUGAAAGCCCCAGGCUCAACCUGGGAAAUGCGUUUGAUACUGUCGAGCUAGAGUGCAGAAGGGGCAAUCGGAAUUCUUGGUGUAGCGGUGAAAUGCGUAGAUAUCAAGAGGAACACCUGAGGUGAAGACGGGUUGCUGGGCUGACACUGACGCUGAGGCGCGAAAGCCAGGGGAGCAAACGGGAUUAGAUACCCCUGUAGUCCCUGAGCGGGCUGGCAAGGCGCAU